AUGAGGAGGGACGAAGAUGCGGUCUUUUCGGAGUUCAGGAAUAAAAAGAAGAAAGUAGAAUAUUUGAUUGAUUCUCACCAAUCCGAAAGAGCCACUCAAUCCAUACAGGAUCCUGAGAUAUCUUCUGAAAGACAUGCUCUAAUUGUUUCACCAUAUAUGAAUCAUGGAAAUCGAGUUCAUCCCAUGCCUUAUACAUAUUCAUCUAUUCCAUGUAAUCGAGAAUGA
This 225-nucleotide long non-coding RNA is filed under the name Vicia faba (fava bean). Lineage: Eukaryota; Viridiplantae; Streptophyta; Magnoliopsida; Fabales; Fabaceae. The record is from RNAcentral.